CUCUUGCCAGGAAAUGCUGUAGCUAUGCUUUUGUUUAAGGACCUUGAACAAAGGCUCUGGAUGUUUAAUAAUUGCAAAUUCGGGUGGGUGGGAUAUGGAGAAGGUUAAUAGGGCAGCCUAACAGAGGAGGAGCUGAGCUUGGGAGAGGAGGAGAGGAACACCGAGGACAUGGCAGCAAGCAGAGGGAAGUAAGCCAGGAAAAACCCCUUUUUGCCAUGUUGAAGUUAACUUAAGUCACCACUGACAAUUUUGGGGAGGCCAGGGAGUGUGAGAUUUGUGAUUCAGUGUGCGGCUUUGUCACAUGGGUACUCAGGCUGAAAAUGAUGGAAAUCUUGGUGCUGUCUCACUUUGGGUUAGAUGAAGUGGGUGCAAUUAGGCAGAGAGGUCCAGAACUAUUACGAAAAAGAAAAGCUCUGAAGGACAAAAGCAGUCUGCCUGUGCAUCACAAAGUGGUGUAGCAUCUUGCCAGUCACCUCCAGAAAAC
This 484-nucleotide long non-coding RNA is filed under the name Athene cunicularia (burrowing owl). Its description in RNAcentral is "lncRNA (ENSACUG00000002879.1)". The record is from RNAcentral. Lineage: Eukaryota; Metazoa; Chordata; Aves; Strigiformes; Strigidae.